CACGUAGGGCGCGAGCGUUGUCCGGAAUUAUUGGGCGUAAAGAGCUCGUAGGCGGCCUGUUGCGUCCGCUGUGAAAGCCCGGGGCUUAACCCCGGGUCUGCAGUGGAUACGGGCAGGCUAGAGGUAGGUAGGGGAGAAUGGAAUUCCCGGUGUAGCGGUGAAAUGCGCAGAUAUCGGGAGGAACUCCGGCGGCGAAAGCGGUGCACUGGUGGAUUACUGACGCUGAGGUGCGAAAGCCAGGGGAGCAAACGGG
RNAcentral lists this ribosomal RNA (253 nucleotides) under uncultured prokaryote. RNAcentral describes it as "partial 16S ribosomal RNA". It matches the Rfam family "Bacterial small subunit ribosomal RNA", at positions 524 to 776 of the family's 1533-position model. The record is from RNAcentral.